RNAcentral lists this ribosomal RNA (1225 nucleotides) under metagenome. RNAcentral describes it as "bacterial SSU rRNA". It matches the Rfam family "Bacterial small subunit ribosomal RNA", at positions 8 to 1251 of the family's 1533-position model. The record is from RNAcentral.
AGAGUUUGAUCCUGGCUCAGGACGAACGCUGGCGGCGUGCUUAACACAUGCAAGUCGAACGGUGACGAGGAGCUUGCUCCUCUGAUCAGUGGCGAACGGGUGAGUAACACGUGAGCAACCUGCCCCAGACUCUGGGAUAACAGUUGGAAACAGCUGCUAAUACCGGAUACGAGACGGAGAGGCAUCUCUACCGUCUGGAAAGUUUUUCGGUCUGGGAUGGACUCGCGGCCUAUCAGCUAGUUGGUGAGGUAAUGGCUCACCAAGGCGACGACGGGUAGCCGGCCUGAGAGGGCGACCGGCCACACUGGGACUGAGACACGGCCCAGACUCCUACGGGAGGCAGCAGUGGGGAAUAUUGCACAAUGGGCGAAAGCCUGAUGCAGCGACGCCGCGUGAGGGAUGACGGCCUUCGGGUUGUAAACCUCUUUCAGCAGGGAAGCGAAAGUGACGGUACCUGCAGAAGAAGCACCGGCUAACUACGUGCCAGCAGCCGCGGUAAUACGUAGGGUGCGAGCGUUGUCCGGAAUUAUUGGGCGUAAAGAGCUUGUAGGCGGUUUGUCGCGUCUGCAGUGAAAAUCCGAGGCUCAACCUCGGACUUGCUGUGGGUACGGGCAGACUAGAGUAUGGUAGGGGAGACCGGAAUUCCUGGUGUAGCGGUGGAAUGCGCAGAUAUCAGGAGGAACACCGAUGGCGAAGGCAGGUCUCUGGGCCAUAACUGACGCUGAGAAGCGAAAGCAUGGGGAGCGAACAGGAUUAGAUACCCUGGUAGUCCAUGCCGUAAACGUUGGGCGCUAGGUGUGGGGCUCAUUCCACGAGCUCCGUGCCGCAGCUAACGCAUUAAGCGCCCCGCCUGGGGAGUACGGCCGCAAGGCUAAAACUCAAAGGAAUUGACGGGGGCCCGCACAAGCGGCGGAGCAUGCGGAUUAAUUCGAUGCAACGCGAAGAACCUUACCAAGGCUUGACAUAUACCGGAAACAUCAGAGAUGUGUGCCCCGCAAGGUCGGUAUACAGGUGGUGCAUGGUUGUCGUCAGCUCGUGUCGUGAGAUGUUGGGUUAAGUCCCGCAACGAGCGCAACCCUCGUUCUAUGUUGCCAGCGCGUAGUGGCGGGGACUCAUAGGAGACUGCCGGGGUCAACUCGGAGGAAGGUGGGGAUGCUGUCAAAUCAUCAUGCCCCUUAUGUCUUUGGCUUCACGCAUGCUACAAUGGCCGGUACAAAGGGCUGCG